Molecule: ribosomal RNA, 704 nt
Filed under: Salmonella enterica subsp. enterica serovar Infantis
Lineage: Bacteria; Pseudomonadati; Pseudomonadota; Gammaproteobacteria; Enterobacterales; Enterobacteriaceae
Also listed under: 1 other name
Description: partial 16S ribosomal RNA
Rfam family: Bacterial small subunit ribosomal RNA
Source: RNAcentral
AAAUUGAAGAGUUUGAUCAUGGCUCAGAUUGAACGCUGGCGGCAGGCCUAACACAUGCAAGUCGAACGGUAACAGGAAGCAGCUUGCUGCUUCGCUGACGAGUGGCGGACGGGUGAGUAAUGUCUGGGAAACUGCCUGAUGGAGGGGGAUAACUACUGGAAACGGUGGCUAAUACCGCAUAACGUCGCAAGACCAAAGAGGGGGACCUUCGGGCCUCUUGCCAUCAGAUGUGCCCAGAUGGGAUUAGCUUGUUGGUGAGGUAACGGCUCACCAAGGCGACGAUCCCUAGCUGGUCUGAGAGGAUGACCAGCCACACUGGAACUGAGACACGGUCCAGACUCCUACGGGAGGCAGCAGUGGGGAAUAUUGCACAAUGGGCGCAAGCCUGAUGCAGCCAUGCCGCGUGUAUGAAGAAGGCCUUCGGGUUGUAAAGUACUUUCAGCGGGGAGGAAGGUGUUGCGGUUAAUAACCGCAGCAAUUGACGUUACCCGCAGAAGAAGCACCGGCUAACUCCGUGCCAGCAGCCGCGGUAAUACGGAGGGUGCAAGCGUUAAUCGGAAUUACUGGGCGUAAAGCGCACGCAGGCGGUCUGUCAAGUCGGAUGUGAAAUCCCCGGGCUCAACCUGGGAACUGCAUUCGAAACUGGCAGGCUUGAGUCUUGUAGAGGGGGGUAGAAUUCCAGGUGUAGCGGUGAAAUGCGUAGA